UACGUAGGGUGCGGGCGUUGUCCGGAAUUAUUGGGCGUAAAGAGCUCGUAGGCGGUUUGUCGCGUCUGCUGUGAAAACGCGAGGCUCAACCUCGCGCCUGCAGUGGGUACGGGCAGACUAGAGUGCGGUAGGGGAGAUUGGAAUUCCUGGUGUAGCGGUGGAAUGCGCAGAUAUCAGGAGGAACACCGAUGGCGAAGGCAGAUCUCUGGGCCGUAACUGACGCUGAGGAGCGAAAGCGUGGGGAGCGAACAGG
Molecule: ribosomal RNA, 253 nt
Filed under: uncultured bacterium
Lineage: Bacteria
Description: partial 16S ribosomal RNA
Rfam family: Bacterial small subunit ribosomal RNA
Source: RNAcentral